CGCCUGCUUCUUUUUUUUCAGGUAGAUUCUGCCCAAUGAUCUAUUAAAUGGCCGCAGUAUCCUAACUGUGCUAAGGUAGCAUAAUAAUUUGUCUCUUAAUUGGGGACUGGAAUGAAUGAACUGACGAGGAGGCUUCUGUCUCAGAGGGGAAUAAGAAAAUUUAUACCCAGGUAAAAAAUCCUGGGGGUUGUAGAGGGACGAUAAGACCCUAAAAGCUUUACCCUUAAAGCCUAAGACAGUAAAACCUGUUAGGCCUACUGGGUUUUCACUGGGGCGGUGAUUCUACCCAAUCUGGAAUAACUUUAAACACUCUGAGUGAAACCCACCACCUUAAUUUUAAUCGUUAACUAAGUUACUUUAGGGAUAACAGCGCAAUUUUCUGUAAGAGCUCCUAUCGACCGGAAAGAUUGCGACCUCGAUGUUGAAUUGAAGACUUGAUUAGAGCAGCAUCUAAUAAUAAGAAGACUGUUCGUCUUUAAAACCUUC
This 486-nucleotide ribosomal RNA is filed under the name Ligia occidentalis. RNAcentral describes it as "partial 16S ribosomal RNA". It matches the Rfam family "Bacterial large subunit ribosomal RNA", at positions 1890 to 2597 of the family's 2925-position model. Lineage: Eukaryota; Metazoa; Arthropoda; Malacostraca; Isopoda; Ligiidae. The record is from RNAcentral.